GGUACCAUGGCUUGGCUGGUUAAAGCACUUGUUUUGUAAACAAGAGAUCCUGGGUUCAACUCCCAGUGGUACUU
Non-coding RNA from Mauremys mutica (yellowpond turtle), 74 nucleotides. NCBI's taxonomy places the organism in Eukaryota, Metazoa, Chordata, Testudines, Geoemydidae. The record is from the annotation of a RefSeq genome assembly.